UCCGGUUUGUCACCGGCAGUCUCAUUAGAGUGCCCUUUCGUAGCAACUAAUGACAAGGGUUGCGCUCGUUGCGGGACUUAACCCGACAUCUCACGACACGAGCUGACGACAGCCAUGCAGCACCUGUGUCCAGGUUCCCUUUCGGGCACACUCCCAUCUCUGGAAGCUUCCUGGCAUGUCAAGGGUAGGUAAGGUUUUUCGCGUUGCAUCGAAUUAAUCCACAUCAUCCACCGCUUGUGCGGGUCCCCGUCAAUUCCUUUGAGUUUUAAUCUUGCGACCGUACUCCCCAGGCGGUCAACUUCACGCGUUAGCUACGGUACCAAGGAAUCGCUUCCCCAACACCCAGUUGACAUCGUUUAGGGCGUGGACUAC
RNAcentral lists this unclassified non-coding RNA (372 nucleotides) under uncultured Gammaproteobacteria bacterium. RNAcentral's name for it is "contains 16S-23S intergenic spacer region". Lineage: Bacteria; Pseudomonadati; Pseudomonadota; Gammaproteobacteria. The record is from RNAcentral.